GACGGAACGGCGCCAUCUCGAGCUUUUCGUCUAAUCCUCUUCGUUUUCGUUCGAGCUCAUCGGUGAAUUCUUCAGCUUCAGCAGAGAUAACGCAGGAUUCAUGUGAUGAGCCUUACACAUGGGACAAAUGCGAAAUGUACUGUUACACAUGCAAAAUAGUCCUGCAAGACUGCACUUCGGAGGAGACGCGUGAUGUAUCAUACGCAAUGGCAGUGGUAAGACUCCGCUAAUUUCAUGGAAAUUGAACGUUUGACAUUCAAUAUGCCUUCUCCCUCCUUGCGAGGAUGAAAGAUUGGACCAUUGGCGAGAUUUGCAACUUCGUCAUUCAUCAGUGCAGCAAAAACUCGGUGAUCAAUUCUGUUUAGGUCUGUCUGUGGUCAGAAUGGUAAAAAGAACUUGAUAUCCGUGCAAUCUCCUGUUACAAAGCAUCAUAAUGUUUCCUGUGGAACGUGUUGACAAAUUUCUGCUACGUAAUAGGGUCCAAAGAGGGUUUUAUAAUGUAUAAAUUGUCUUAAACCGUGAUUGAAGGGAAGUUUGAAAAGCAUUGAAGGCUGUGCUGUACAUGACUUUUGAUUUGAGUUUAGUUAAGGAUACUCCAGCGUCACUCCAA
Eucalyptus grandis is the source of this 610-nucleotide long non-coding RNA. RefSeq lists it as uncharacterized. The record is from RefSeq and is a predicted model, not a curated record. The transcript has 2 exons. Lineage: Eukaryota; Viridiplantae; Streptophyta; Magnoliopsida; Myrtales; Myrtaceae.